Molecule: transfer RNA, 79 nt
Filed under: Taenioptynx brodiei brodiei
Lineage: Eukaryota; Metazoa; Chordata; Aves; Strigiformes; Strigidae
Description: Glaucidium brodiei brodiei tRNA-Pro
Rfam family: tRNA (bases 1-64)
About the family: Transfer RNA (tRNA) molecules are approximately 80 nucleotides in length. Their secondary structure includes four short double-helical elements and three loops (D, anti-codon, and T loops).
Source: RNAcentral
AUAGUUUAAUGUAGAAUACCAGCUUUGGGAGUUGGUGGUAGAGGUUAAAUUCCUCUUUUUCUGAGCAACUCUAAGAAGG